RNAcentral lists this ribosomal RNA (605 nucleotides) under uncultured bacterium. Its description in RNAcentral is "bacterial SSU rRNA". It matches the Rfam family "Bacterial small subunit ribosomal RNA", at positions 250 to 855 of the family's 1533-position model. The record is from RNAcentral.
UGGUGAGGUAACGGCUCACCAAGGCGACGAUGGGUAGCCGGCCUGAGAGGGUGAACGGCCACACUGGGACUGAGACACGGCCCAGACUCCUACGGGAGGCAGCAGUAGGGAAUAUUGCGCAAUGGAGGGAACUCUGACGCAGCGACGCCGCGUGAGCGAUGAAGGUUUUCGGAUCGUAAAGCUCUGUCCUUGGGGAAGAAGGGAGUCGAAAGACGCCUUGACGGUACCCAUGGAGGAAGCCCCGGCUAACUACGUGCCAGCAGCCGCGGUAAUACGUAGGGGGCAAGCGUUGUCCGGAAUUAUUGGGCGUAAAGGGUGCGUAGGCGGCCCUUUAAGUCAGAUGUGAAAGCCCACGGCUUAACCGUGGGAUUGCAUUUGAAACUGGAGGGCUUGAGUGUCGGAGAGGGUAGUGGAAUUCCCAGUGUAGCGGUGGAAUGCGUAGAUAUUGGGAGGAACACCAGUGGCGAAGGCGACUGCCUGGACGAUAACUGACGCUGAGGCACGAAAGCUAGGGGAGCAAACAGGAUUAGAUACCCUGGUAGUCCUAGCCGUAAACGAUGGGUACUAGGUGUAGGAGGUUUCGAUACCUUCUGUGCCGCAGUUAA